AUGUCACGUUCUCUUAUUCUUUUGUUCUUUUUAAAAAAUCCCACGGUCUCUCUUUCUUUUCAUAAACAACAACAAACUUGUUUUAUUAAAAGCCCAGACAAGAUAAAAACAAGGUUGAGGAUAGAGGAGAGUGGAUACAGAGGCGAUGGUCGGAGGCUUCACGAUGGUGUUCGCCAGAGUUCGCGGCGGUGCUGCCAUGAACUUUUUCCAAAAUCAAUUUUUUUACACUGA
Vicia faba (fava bean) is the source of this 231-nucleotide non-coding RNA. The record is from the annotation of a GenBank genome assembly. NCBI's taxonomy places the organism in Eukaryota, Viridiplantae, Streptophyta, Magnoliopsida, Fabales, Fabaceae.